Molecule: small nuclear RNA, 112 nt
Organism: Manis javanica (Malayan pangolin)
Lineage: Eukaryota; Metazoa; Chordata; Mammalia; Pholidota; Manidae
Source: RefSeq, a predicted model, not a curated record
GGUCACUUCAGCAGCAUGUAUCCUAAAAUUUAAAUUUAAAUGAUACAGAGAUUAGACUGGCCCCUCCCUGCACAAGGAUAACACACAAACUCAGGAAGCAUUUCUUUUUUUU